CCUGGUAAUUUUUGCGAAGGUGUUACACCCGAUACCAUUUCGAACUCGGAAGUUAAGCCCUUCAGCGCCGAUGGUACUUUGUCUUAAGGCAUGGAAGAGUAGGACGUUGCCAGGC
This 115-nucleotide ribosomal RNA is filed under the name Candidatus Pelagibacter sp. Lineage: Bacteria; Pseudomonadati; Pseudomonadota; Alphaproteobacteria; Candidatus Pelagibacterales; Candidatus Pelagibacteraceae. The record is from RNAcentral.